This is a non-coding RNA of Oryzias latipes (Japanese medaka), 1599 nucleotides long. NCBI's taxonomy places the organism in Eukaryota, Metazoa, Chordata, Actinopteri, Beloniformes, Adrianichthyidae. The record is from RefSeq and is a predicted model, not a curated record.
CUACAAUGCUUGAAAUAAAUCAAUAGAUAAAUUUAAAAAAUAAUCUAAUAUUGCAGAAGCAGGCCCGACAUGUCUUCUUUUGAAACUGGUUGUGGACAUGACGUGUUUAAGAAAAAGCAUAAUUUACUGCUUACACGUCUAGGAAGCAUAAAGCAGGCUCAUCUGAAAAUUUUAUUAUGUAUAUGCUGCUUUUGAGGCCCAUUUUUAUAGGGUUCAGUUUUCUCAGACUUAAAGUUAGUGCUUCAUGUGUUGCCACAGAUUUGAAAUGUGUUUUUGACCUGUGUGAGUGUUAACUUCAUGCUGUCAAAGAGCUUAUUUGUCAUUUUAAGACCACGUGAAGGAGGGAUGCUCUGUAUCAUGUCCAGUAUCAUGCGGUGUAGCUUUACAGAUCGUGUCAGACCGUGGAACAAGUGAAAAAAAUUAUUAACGAUUUGUGAUCUUCACUGGUGUCCAUGGAUUAAAUGAAAUGCUCUUCACCUUUACCCACCUGUGUUAUGCUAGGGAUAACCCGUCAAUGUAAGGAUCACGUCAUCUGGACCCCAUAGGAUAGCACAGAAGACAUCAACUAUCAUCAAAUUCUAAAAAGAGAGGAAUAGAAGAAGCCGACACCAACCGUGGACUGGCCUGUGAGACACCUGGUGCAUCACAGCGCUGUCAACAGGCAACAACAUCAGAAGAGGAUUGAGCGGGAAAACCAAGCUGGAGCAGCGUCCAAAGCCGGAUUGAGAGCUGUCUGUUCGGGUCUCCUGGCGUCCCGGACACCACUGGAGCUCAGUGUACCCUACCUCGGGUUGGCAACAGUUGCUGCCACUGUACCCAAGGGGCGUGGCUCUGAGACUUUGCAAGCCAUCUUCAGGUUCCAGGUCAGUCAGCUCCAGAGCCACAGUCAGUGAGACGGCUACGCUUGAAGCCCAAACUACACACGAUGCAACCCAAGAACCCUGCUGCUAAGAACAUUGGAACGACAGAACUCUGCAGGCCAUCAGGAUCUACUUCUGUAAAACACAAAGAGAACAUCUGAGUUCUGACGGAACCAUGAACUGGUCCAGUAUGUGGACUCUACUCUCAUUGGCCCUCUGGACGGGCAGGGGGAGCUUGAACUCAGCAGGGAGCUUGUCCUCAGUGUAACCUGUCUGUGAAGAACAUCCUCUGAAUCCGACAGUUGGCAUGAAUCUGAUGAAAACGACAAGCUAAGAUCAAACAAUCUGCCGUAAAACAUUUCCUCGCCAGCUUCACGUCCACAAACCUGGAUUCACGGCGUCCCUGUUAAGUCGGAUCGGAAGGAGGACUUUGUUGUUAUUACCGACAGGUUGACGGUCUUGUGGCUCCACCCGUCCCCAAGGUUUAAGGCCAAGAUGCACCUGAAGUGGUCCACCUUGUUUUCCUUUUGGAUGGUGGGGAAUUUGAUCCAUUGGCGGACCGUUUUAUCAUCCAAAAUCUGGACUUCAAAAGAGAAAUACUUUUUCCAGUUUUUCACCAACAGGACCAGGAGUCCUUUAGCAGAGUCUCCGGAUAUUCAGAUCCGAAGGAUGCUUUCUUUAAAUCCGACAGGUUAACCCUUGUGCUAUCUUAGAUGACCCCACCCUUACAUUUACGUGU